This 240-nucleotide long non-coding RNA is filed under the name Carica papaya (papaya). RNAcentral describes it as "long non-coding RNA (CPAP_LNC001128)". The record is from RNAcentral. Lineage: Eukaryota; Viridiplantae; Streptophyta; Magnoliopsida; Brassicales; Caricaceae.
AUGCUCCAUCGUCAUAUCACUAAAUAUUAUCAGUGCCCUUAUUGCAACAAAGCUAGACAAGAUGUUCUUCACAUAAUUAGAGAAUGUACCAUGUCAUGUUAGAUAUGGAAUAACUUAAUUGACUCGACAUUUACCGAUAAAUUUUUCUUUCUUUCUUAAGGGUGCUAGAUCAAAUAGAACAUGAAGACUAGUGUUAACACAAUGGGAUUGCACAUUAGAGAACUAUUUUAAUUACUACGA